Molecule: long non-coding RNA, 2701 nt
Organism: Mercenaria mercenaria
Lineage: Eukaryota; Metazoa; Mollusca; Bivalvia; Venerida; Veneridae
Exons: 3
Source: RefSeq, a predicted model, not a curated record
CGGGAACAUUCGAGUUUUCGUAGUUUUUCUCACGCAUGUUUAUAAACCGUUACAACGCUUUAUUUUGUAAACAUUGAUAUAAAUAUAGAACGAGACGCGACAAUAUUUUAUGACACUUUCAUCACGUGGGCAGCAAACCAUAUACUUUCAUGCUUCCAUCACUAAUAGGGAAUCGAUCUUACCGAUUUUCGUCGCGAAUCGACGAAAAUCGGGAUCGAAUCCCACUACGUUAACAUACGAGGGUAUCCAAACAACACAUACUAUUCAAAUAAAAAAAUAUGGAGUUCCGGUUUAGACCAUGGGCGUGCGACGACCCCGAUGAAAUUCGGGAUAUCACGGUCUUCGUUAAUGUUAAUAAGCGUCCGUCAGAUCGGUAGGCGAAACGCAAUAUCCGCACAAUAAGAUGUCUGCGACCCGAAAGAAUAUUCAAAGUAAGCUGUUAAUUUUGUUGCGUCAGAAGCUAAUCAGCCGGUAACGUGACUACACUGAUAUAAUUUGUGAUACAAACAUGUUUUAUUCAAUACUGAGUUGCAUUUUUAAACGGCGACAUUUUGAAUAUUUUUAUAUUUAGAGUGAGAGUGGAUACAGUACCGAUACUGUUACACUGGCGCCGACAUUUUGAAAAUUUGAGAAAACAAAAACAUUCUCCAACGAGUUCUUCAGCUCGGGGAAUGAGAGAAUAGAUUCACCUUUGUGUCGCUUUUCAGAUCGUAUUUUAAUUCCUUUCCGGUACUUUAGUUUCUUUGAACUUCUCUGUUACUCACUAAGCGUACAGUAUUGGAUUUUUAAAAUUAAGAAAUCCGUGAUUUUACUUGCAGGCAUGACUGAUAAAUGGAAUUAUUUUACUUUUAUAUAGAAUAUGGACGGCACUCCAGUUCAGCAUGUGCAUGGUUGGACCUGUUGACAUUUUUAGAAACGCAUCUUGGUCUAUUAUACAGAGUAUUGUUGUGCUGCUCCAAAGUGCUUGUUGACAGACUGAAACCACUUGCUUGCAGCUCAUAAGGUUUACUUCUUGAGAGCAGGCAGCUACAAAAUGGAAGGUCAACAAAUCCAGUAUACUUGAAAAGCAAGAAAGAAACACCAGAAAAUAUGAAAAGACAGAAAUACAAAGGAACUUGAAUAAAAAAAAACUUUUAAGGAUAGGAAUUCAGGAUUUACUUGGAAACUAAAUUUAUUUUGAGAGCAGCAGUGAUUGACUAAGCUCUGUUACUUUAAGAGAUAAUGUAUUAUCACAUUGGUUUUGUUAUUGUCGAGCCGCUAGCGGUAGCGAAGACAUAGUUGUCCAAAUGUCUGUUUGGUGUAUGUGCGUGCGUCCGUCCGUCCGGAUUUGUUUGUCCAGACCAUAACUUGGACAUGCAUGGAGCAAUCUUGUUUAUAUUUGGUAUGAAUGUUAACCUCAGUGAGACGGAGUGUCGUGCACAAACCCCAGGUUCCUAUCUCAAAGGCCAAGGUCACACUUACAGGUCAAAGGUCAAAUUCAAAAAUGACUUUGUCUGGAGUAUUUCUUUAUCAUGCAUGGAGGGAUUUUGAUGUAACUUGGCACAAUUGUUCACCAUCAUGAGAUGGAGUGUGAUGCGCAAGAACCAGGUCCCUAGGUCUAAGGUCAAGGUCACACUUAGAGGUCAAAGGAUACAAGAAUGACAACUUUGUCCAGAGUAUUUCUUCUUCGUGCAUGGAGGGAUUUUGAUGUAACUUGGCACAAAUGUUCACCACCAUGAGACGGAGUGUCUUGCAGAAGAACCAGUUCCCUAGGUCUAAGAUCAAGGCCACACUUAGAGGUCAAAAGUCAGAUACAAGAAUGACUUUGUCUGCAGCAUUUCUUUUUGAUGCAUAGAGGGAUUUUGAUGUAACUUGGCACAAUUGUUCAUCAUCAAGCGACGGAGGGUCAUGCGUAAGAUCCUAGAAUUACUUCCCUUUGUUGUUACUAUAAAUAGCUUACAUUUGUAACUUUUUUAUUACUGGUCAUAGGGAAAAAUCAAGACCACUUUUCUGUAGUACAACAUGCAUGUUACAUCCAAUUUUCAGGUGUAUUUUGACCUAUCUCUGGUGGUGCGGAUUUUUGUGUGGACUUAGAAUUUUUUUAUAUAUUUUUUUUUAUAAUUUUUUUUAAAUUUUUUUUUUUAAAUUUACGUUCCUUUGUUGUUACUGUAAAUAAUUUAUAUUGUAACUUUUUGCAAUCUCUUUUAUUUGGCAUAAAUGUUUGCCUCAAUGAGACAAGGAGUGUCAUGUACAACUCCCAGUCCUUUUGACAGCUGGCAGGCUCGACAUAUUGCCCAUGGGCAUCUAGUUCUCAUAAAACAUACUAAAGUUUCAUUAAUCUUAUUUUAGAUAAUUGUUUUCUGGUUUAUUUUGUAAAGAAUGUCUACUACAUUGUAAUUAACAUAGUUACAGUAAAGUAAUAUUUUUCAUGAGAUUUUAAAGAGAAUGUUCUGUUAUACCCCCAUGUAGUAAGCUUGUCUGUCUUUCAGUCAGUAGGUUUUCAUGGCUUCGAGAUGAUAACUCAUGAAAAGCUUGACCGAUUUAAAUAUGUUUUGGUACAUAGGUACAGGUCAAGACGACUUUGGGGUCAGUAGGUCAAAGGUCAAGAUAACUUGCAAACGCUUUGGCCUGGGAUCAUAGCUUUUGUAACACAGGUGUAACAUGAUAAAAUACAGGUUGUUUGAAUUUGAGGUCAAUAGAUCAAAGGUCAAGGUCACAGUGA